Molecule: long non-coding RNA, 559 nt
Organism: Mercenaria mercenaria
Lineage: Eukaryota; Metazoa; Mollusca; Bivalvia; Venerida; Veneridae
Exons: 5
Source: RefSeq, a predicted model, not a curated record
UAGGAGCAAGUUUAGUAUGUUUAUACUACACUGACGCCGUUGUCCCCGCUGACUGUGAUACAGUCAUACAGUGUGGAUCUCAUGAGCGUUGUUAUGUUGAUGCUUAUGUCAGUGCAACGGGAAGUUUAAGAUAUAAUCUUGGCUGUCGGGACGGAAAUCAAUGUACCGGACCAUCGAAUCUUGGAAAACGUGAGGCAUUUAAUCAGCUGACAGAUAUGUUAGAUUCAAUGCUAACAGAUAAGUUAGAUGCGGUGCUGGGAACGAAUGAAGAAUUGUCCCGAAAAAGCACCCAGUGGUUUUCCUAAUACGGAUGCAGAAACACGCGAGGUAUCAAAAAUAAGAGCAGGUGGAUUUCUUGUAUGCAGUGAAUGUUGCACUGGAAACUUAUGCAGUAAUGCUGGGUGUGGAAAUAAAGGUUAUAUUUCUCCCAGAGGACCAAUUUGCUACCACUGUGCAGAGCAGCUUAGUCAAGAUGACUGCAGCAAAAUAAGUUUGUGCGGUCAAGAUGAGGUCUGUAUGCUGCAGAAAACAUUGAAUACAAUGACACAUGAAGUGAGAU